GAUGAACGCUGGCGGCGUGCCUAAUACAUGCAAGUCGAGCGAACAGAUGAGGAGCUUGCUCCUCUGACGUUAGCGGCGGACGGGUGAGUAACACGUGGAUAACCUACCUAUAAGACUGGGAUAACUUCGGGAAACCGGAGCUAAUACCGGAUAAUAUAUUGAACCGCAUGGUUCAAUAGUGAAAGACAGUUUUGCUGUCACUUAUAGAUGGAUCCGCGCCGCAUUAGCUAGUUGGUAAGGUAACGGCUUACCAAGGCAACGAUGCGUAGCCGACCUGAGAGGGUGAUCGGCCACACUGGAACUGAGACACGGUCCAGACUCCUACGGGAGGCAGCAGUAGGGAACCUUCCGCAAUGGGCGAAAGCCUGACGGAGCAACGCCGCGUGAGUGAUGAAGGUCUUCGGAUCGUAAAACUCUGUUAUUAGGGAAGAACAAAUGUGUAAGUAACUAUGCACGUCUUGACGGUACCUAAUCAGAAAGCCACGGCUAACUACGUG
Molecule: ribosomal RNA, 497 nt
Filed under: uncultured bacterium
Lineage: Bacteria
Description: partial 16S ribosomal RNA
Rfam family: Bacterial small subunit ribosomal RNA
Source: RNAcentral